This 73-nucleotide transfer RNA is filed under the name Bacillota bacterium. RNAcentral's name for it is "tRNA-Ala". It matches the Rfam family "tRNA". Rfam says of the family: Transfer RNA (tRNA) molecules are approximately 80 nucleotides in length. Lineage: Bacteria; Bacillati; Bacillota. The record is from RNAcentral. RNAcentral also lists the same sequence under 1 other name.
GGGGCUAUAGCUCAGUUGGGAGAGCGCCUGCCCCGCAAGCAGGAGGUCGGCGGUUCGAAUCCGCUUAGCUCCA